RNAcentral lists this ribosomal RNA (468 nucleotides) under uncultured bacterium. Its description in RNAcentral is "partial 16S ribosomal RNA". It matches the Rfam family "Bacterial small subunit ribosomal RNA", at positions 28 to 507 of the family's 1533-position model. The record is from RNAcentral.
GACGAACGCUGGCGGCGUGCUUAACACAUGCAAGUCGAACGGAAAGGCCCUGCUUUUGUGGGGUGCUCGAGUGGCGAACGGGUGAGUAACACGUGAGUAAACUGCCCUUGACUUUGGGAUAACUUCAGGAAACUGGGGCUAAUACCGGAUAGGAGCUCCUGCUGCGUGGUGGGGGUUGGAGAGUUUCGGCGGUUGGGGAUGGACUCGCGGCUUAUCAGCUUGUUGGUGGGGUAGUGGCUUACCAAGGUUUUGACGGAUAGCCGGCCUGAGAGGGUGACCGGCCACAUUGGGACUGAGAGACGGCCCAGACUCCUAUGGGAGGCAGCAGUGGGGAAUAUUGCACAAUGGGCGGAAGCCUGAUGCAGCAACGCCGCGUGCGGGAUGACGGCCUUCGGGUUGUAAACCGCUUUCGCCUGUGACGAAGCGUGAGUGACGGUAAUGGGUAAAGAAGCACCGGCUAACUACGUG